Molecule: ribosomal RNA, 253 nt
Filed under: uncultured bacterium
Lineage: Bacteria
Description: partial 16S ribosomal RNA
Rfam family: Bacterial small subunit ribosomal RNA
Source: RNAcentral
UACAGAGGUCCCAAGCGUUGUUCGGAUUCACUGGGCGUAAAGGGUGCGUAGGCGGUCAGGUAAGUCUGAUGUGAAAUCUCUGGGCUUAACCCAGAAAUGGCAUUGGAUACUAUUUGGCUUGAGAGUUGGAGGGGGGACUGGAAUUCUUGGUGUAGCAGUGAAAUGCGUAGAUAUCAAGAGGAACACCAGUGGCGAAGGCGAGUCUCUGGACGACUCCUGACACUGAGGCACGAAAGCUAGGGGAGCAAACAGG